GGAGUUGUAGCUCAGUGGUAGAGCACUUGCCUUGUAAGUGUGAGGCACUAGGUUCGAUCCUAGCACCA
This 68-nucleotide transfer RNA is filed under the name Ictidomys tridecemlineatus (thirteen-lined ground squirrel). RNAcentral's name for it is "Spermophilus tridecemlineatus (thirteen-lined ground squirrel) tRNA". It matches the Rfam family "tRNA". Rfam says of the family: Transfer RNA (tRNA) molecules are approximately 80 nucleotides in length. Their secondary structure includes four short double-helical elements and three loops (D, anti-codon, and T loops). Further hydrogen bonds mediate the characteristic L-shaped molecular structure. tRNAs have two regions of fundamental functional importance: the anti-codon, which is responsible for specific mRNA codon recognition, and the 3' end, to which the tRNAs corresponding amino acid is attached (by aminoacyl-tRNA synthetases). tRNAs cope with the degeneracy of the genetic code in two manners: having more than one tRNA (with a specific anti-codon) for a particular amino acid; and 'wobble' base-pairing, i.e. permitting non-standard base-pairing at the 3rd anti-codon position. The record is from Rfam by way of RNAcentral. Lineage: Eukaryota; Metazoa; Chordata; Mammalia; Rodentia; Sciuridae.